This 18-nucleotide small nuclear RNA is filed under the name Arabidopsis thaliana (thale cress). RNAcentral describes it as "snRNA_04989". The record is from RNAcentral. Lineage: Eukaryota; Viridiplantae; Streptophyta; Magnoliopsida; Brassicales; Brassicaceae.
UAGCGCUUAAGCGCGAAC